This 468-nucleotide ribosomal RNA is filed under the name uncultured bacterium. RNAcentral's name for it is "partial 16S ribosomal RNA". It matches the Rfam family "Bacterial small subunit ribosomal RNA", at positions 28 to 507 of the family's 1533-position model. The record is from RNAcentral.
GACGAACGCUGGCGGCGUGCUUAACACAUGCAAGUCGAACGGAAAGUCCCUGCUUGUGUGGGGUGCUCGAGUGGCGAACGGGUGAGUAACACGUGAGUAACCUGCCCGUUACUUUGGGAUAACUUCAGGAAACUGGGGCUAAUACCGGAUAGGAGCUCCUGCUGCAUGGUGGGGGUUGGAAAGUUUCGGCGGUUGGGGAUGGACGCGCGGCUUAUCAGCUUGUUGGUGGGGUAGUGGCUUACCAAGGCUUUGACGGGUAGCCGGCCUGAGAGGGUGACCGGCCACAUUGGGACUGAGAUACGGCCCAGACUCAUACGGGAGGCAGGAGUGGGGAAUAUUCCACGAUGGGCGGAAGCCUGAUGCAGCAUCGCCGCGUGCUGGAUGACGGUCGUCGGGUUGUAAACCGCUUUAGCCUGUGACGAAGCGUGAGUGACGGUAAUGGGUAAAGAAGCACCGGCUAACUACGUG